CAACCUACAACACUUGCACCAGCAAUAUAAUAUCUUUGAAUUGUAAAUGUAUCUGCAACGCUCCUAAGAACAAUAAGGUCAGAAAGUGACACUGAAAGACAAGAUGGUUAAUUGGACCUGGAUGGCAUUUGCAUAGAGCAGCUAAUCACAUUCCAGAUCAUCAACACAAGGUCCCUACUUUUAAUGUACAGCAGUCUAAAAAGAGACGGCAAAAUAGCAGGGUAACCUCUUGAGUAUGCCAGGCAUUCUUGGACAACCAGCAUCCACCAGCAGGACAACCCCACAGCAAGGAAGCUCCAGCUGAGCUCUGGAACCAGAGGGGCGAUUUUCUGCUCUCCUGCACAGCUGUUUGUGUCUGAAGACCAGGAGACCAUAAAAGUGACAAAAAUAAACCAUGUUUCCCAUGAGUUCAAACUCUCUCUUGUGUUCCAAAAAAGGGUGUAGGUGGCACUGUACAAGCUUGCUUUCAACUGCCACUCAUGGAAGAUGUAUUUACUUAAUUCAAGGAGAAAUCGCUAUAGUCUUUGCUUUCUACAGAUUACCCUGCAGACCAGAACUUUGAAAUUGCUGCUUGGCCUGAAUCUUUCUAACAAAGUCAGCCUAAGGCAUCAAUCACUGAAAUUAAUUAAAAUUUAGAGAAAGCAAUAAAUACUUGCAACAGAAGGGUUAGGUAGGCGCAGCACUACGUGCUGGUAUUCACAGCUACAGUAACUUCAGGAGAAACAUAAUUUAACCACAGCCAGCACACCUGAAGGAUCAUGCCCAACCAGCUGCGUUCUGAUGGAAGAUAUUUCCCAAUCAGUCAAGAAGCCAUGAGGAUUUUUUUGCUCAUCAACACCUACGCCAAGCUUAGCCUGGAUGGGAGGAAACUCUGAGAACAGACUGCUUUAUGAACACUGG
RNAcentral lists this long non-coding RNA (900 nucleotides) under Gallus gallus (chicken). Lineage: Eukaryota; Metazoa; Chordata; Aves; Galliformes; Phasianidae. The record is from RNAcentral.